CAGCAGCCGCGGUAAUACGGAGGGUGCGAGCGUUAAUCGGAAUUACUGGGCGUAAAGCGCACGCAGGCGGUUUGUUAAGCGAGAUGUGAAAGCCCCGGGCUCAACCUGGGAACUGCAUUUCGAACUGGCAAACUAGAGUGUGAUAGAGGGUGGUAGAAUUUCAGGUGUAGCGGUGAAAUGCGUAGAGAUCUGAAGGAAUACCGAUGGCGAAGGCAGCCACCUGGGUCAACACUGACGCUCAUGUACGAAAGCGUGGGGAGCAAACGGGAUUAGAUACCCCGGUAGUCCACGCCGUAAACGAUGUCUACUAGAAGCUCGGAGCCUCGGUUCUGUUUUUCAAAGCUAACGCAUUAAGUAGACCGCCUGGGGAGUACGCCGCGCAGGUUAAAACUCAAAUGAAUUGACGGGGGCCCGCACAAGCGGUGGAGCAUGUGGUUUAAUUCGAUGCAACGCGAAGAACCUUA
Molecule: ribosomal RNA, 464 nt
Filed under: uncultured Pseudoalteromonas SIC.1059
Lineage: Bacteria; Pseudomonadati; Pseudomonadota; Gammaproteobacteria; Alteromonadales; Pseudoalteromonadaceae
Description: bacterial SSU rRNA
Rfam family: Bacterial small subunit ribosomal RNA
Source: RNAcentral